RNAcentral lists this ribosomal RNA (484 nucleotides) under uncultured bacterium. RNAcentral's name for it is "partial 16S ribosomal RNA". It matches the Rfam family "Bacterial small subunit ribosomal RNA", at positions 30 to 507 of the family's 1533-position model. The record is from RNAcentral.
AUUGAACGCUGGCGGCAGGCCUAACACAUGCAAGUCGAGCGGAUGAAGGGAGCUUGCUCCUGGAUUCAGCGGCAGACGGGUGAGUAAUGCCUAGGAAUCUGCCUGGUAGUGGGGGAUAACGUCCGGAAACGGGCGCUAAUACCGCAUACGUCCUGAGGGAGAAAGGGGGGGAUCUUCGGACCUCACGCUAUCAGAUGAGCCUAGGUCGGAUUAGCUAGUUGGUGGGGUAAAGGCCUACCAAGGCGACGAUCCGUAACUGGUCUGAGAGGAUGAUCAGUCACACUGGAACUGAGACACGGUCCAGACUCCUACAGGAGGCAGCAGUGGGGAAUAUUGGACAAUGGGCGAGAGCCUGAUCCAGCCAUGCCGCGUGUGUGAAGAAGGUCUUCGGAUUGUAAAGCACUUUAAGUUGGGAGGAAGGGCAGUAAGUUAAUACCUUGCUGUUUUGACGUUACCAACAGAAUAAGCACCGGCUAACUUCGUG